RNAcentral lists this unclassified non-coding RNA (295 nucleotides) under uncultured Helotiales. RNAcentral describes it as "sequence contains ITS1". The stretch from base 1 to 105 matches the Rfam family "5.8S ribosomal RNA", at positions 50 to 154 of the family's 154-position model. Lineage: Eukaryota; Fungi; Ascomycota; Leotiomycetes; Helotiales. The record is from RNAcentral.
UAAAUGCGAUAAGUAAUGUGAAUUGCAGAAUUUAGUGAAUCAUCGAAUCUUUGAACGCACAUUGCGCCCCUUGGUAUUCCGAGGGGCAUGCCUGUUCGAGCGUCAUUACAACCCUCAAGCAAUGCUUGGUAUUGGGCCCCGCUGCUCACCUAGCGGGCCUUAAAAUCAGUGGCGGUGCCGUCGGGCCCUGAGCGCAGUAAAUAUCCUCGCUACAGGGACUCGGUGGACGCUGGCCAUCAACCCAGACUCCUCUAAGUUUGACCUCGGAUCAGGUAGGGAUACCCGCUGAACUUAA